GAUGAAGAACGUAUCGAAAUGCGAUAAGUAAUGUGAAUUGCAGAAUUCAGUGAAUCAUCGAAUCUUUGAACGCACAUUGCGCCCGCGAGUAUUCUCGCGGGCAUGCCUGUCCGAGCGUCAUUUCAACCCUCAGGGCCCGCCUGCUUCGGCAGGCGCGGCGCUGGUGUUGGGGAUCGGCCUAACCGCCGACCCCCAAAUACAGUGGCGGUCUCGCUGCAGCCUCCCCUGCGUAGUAGCAACACUCGCAUGCGGAGCGCGGCGCGGCCACGCCGUAAAACCCCCGACUUUCUGAACGUUGACCUCGGAUCAGGUAGGAAUACCCGCUGAACUUAAGCAUAUCAAUAAGCGGAGGA
RNAcentral lists this unclassified non-coding RNA (353 nucleotides) under soil metagenome. Its description in RNAcentral is "partial contains 5.8S ribosomal RNA, internal transcribed spacer 2, and large subunit ribosomal RNA". The stretch from base 1 to 120 matches the Rfam family "5.8S ribosomal RNA", at positions 35 to 154 of the family's 154-position model. The record is from RNAcentral.